GCCUCCUUAGCUCAGGGGCAGAGCGCUCCCCUCGUAAGGGAGAGGUCGUCAGUUCAAUUCUGGCAGGUGGCA
Non-coding RNA from Coemansia sp. RSA 1287, 72 nucleotides. The record is from the annotation of a GenBank genome assembly. Lineage: Eukaryota; Fungi; Kickxellomycota; Kickxellomycetes; Kickxellales; Kickxellaceae.